This 123-nucleotide small RNA is filed under the name Marmota monax (woodchuck). Lineage: Eukaryota; Metazoa; Chordata; Mammalia; Rodentia; Sciuridae. The record is from RNAcentral.
GCUAGAUGUGGUGAUGCAUGUCUGUAAUCCCAGCAACUUGGGAGGCUGAGGCAGGAGGUUAAGUUUGAGGCUGGCUUUGGAACUCAAUGAUGUCCUAAGCAAUUUAGCAAGACCUUGCCUCAA